Long non-coding RNA from Austrofundulus limnaeus, 384 nucleotides. RefSeq lists it as uncharacterized. Lineage: Eukaryota; Metazoa; Chordata; Actinopteri; Cyprinodontiformes; Rivulidae. The transcript has 2 exons. The record is from RefSeq and is a predicted model, not a curated record.
CACAUCCUGUAGGAGAAGUUGUUUCUUGGAUGAAAACUUCUUUUGCUCUCUUUCUUCCUCCUAAACUCUGUGGAGGUGUUCGUUUGGCUCAGGUAGUUUGGCCAGGAGCAGUUGGAGCAGAGCCAUUCAUCCAAACAUCUUUGGAGGUCACAUCUGCAGGAGUCAGAGGUCACGAGACAAGGGCUAAAAGGCAGCUUUCUGGCUGUAGGCCAAGGCCAUGAGGUCAGAGACUGAGGUGAUUGGCUGAGUUGAAUUGAAGGUGGGGUGUGUGUGUAUAUAGGUGGACUGUUGAAUGUAGUGAGACGGAUGGAAGGGCUGCCACUUUGAGAGCUGCUGUGAGGCCUGAAAAGACCCAAUAAACCUGCUUUGUUUGCUGUAAAGCCA